CUGUCGGCGUGCUUAACACAUGCAAGUCGAACGGAAAGGCCCUGCUUUUGUGGGGUGCUCGAGUGGCGAACGGGUGAGUAACACGUGAGUAACCUGCCCUUGACUUUGGGAUAACUUCAGGAAACUGGGGCUAAUACCGGAUAGGAGCUCCUGCUGCAUGGUGGGGGUUGGAAAGUUUCGGCGGUUGGGGAUGGACUCGCGGCUUAUCAGCUUGUUGGUGGGGUAGUGGCUUACCAAGGCUUUGACGGGUAGCCGGCCUGAGAGGGUGACCGGCCACAUUGGGACUGAGAUACGGCCCAGACUCCUACGGGAGGCAGCAGUGGGGAAUAUUGCACAAUGGGCGGAAGCCUGAUGCAGCAACGCCGCGUGCGGGAUGACGGCCUUCGGGUUGUAAACCGCUUUCGCCUGUGACGAAGCGUGAGUGACGGUAAUGGGUAAAGAAGCACCGGCUAACUACGUGCCAGCAGCCGCGGUGAUACGUAGGGUGCGAGCGUUGUCCGGAUUUAUUGGGCGUAAAGGGCUCGUAGGUGGUUGAUCGCGUCGGAAGUGUAAUCUUGGGGCUUAACCCUGAGCGUGCUUUCGAUACGGGUUGACUUGAGGAAGGUAGGGGAGAAUGGAAUUCCUGGUGGAGCGGUGGAAUGCGCAGAUAUCAGGAGGAACACCAGUGGCGAAGGCGGUUCUCUGGGCCUUUCCUGACGCUGAGGAGCGAAAGCGUGGGGAGCGAACAGGCUUAGAUACCCUGGUAGUCCACGCUGUAAACGGUGGGUACUAGGUGUGGGGUCCAUUCCACGGGUUCCGUGCCGUAGCUAACGCUUUAAGUACCCCGCCUGGGGAGUACGGCCGCAAGGCUAAAACUCAAAGGAAUUGACGGGGCCCCGCACAAGCGGCGGAGCAUGCGGAUUAAUUCGAUGCAACGCGUAGAACCUUACCUGGGUUUGACAUGGAUCGGGAGUGCUCAGAGAUGGGUGUGCCUCUUUUGGGGUCGGUUCACAGGUGGUGCAUGGCUGUCGUCAGCUCGUGUCGUGAGAUGUUGGGUUAAGUCCCGCAACGAGCGCAACCCUUGUUCACUGUUGCCAGCACGUUAUGGUGGGGACUCAGUGGAGACCGCCGGGGUCAACUCGGAGGAAGGUGGGGAUGACGUCAAGUCAUCAUGCCCCUUAUGUCCAGGGCUUCACGCAUGCUACAAUGGCUGGUACAGAGAGUGGCGAGCCUGUGAGGGUGAGCGAAUCUCGGAAAGCCGGUCUCAGUUCGGAUUGGGGUCUGCAACUCGACCUCAUGAAGUCGGAGUCGCUAGUAAUCGCAGAUCAGCAACGCUGCGGUGAAUACGUUCCCGGGGCUUGUACACACCGCCCGUCAAGUCAUGAAAGUUGGUAACACCCGAAGCCGGUGGCUUAACCGUUGUGGGGGAGCCGUCGAAGGUGGGACUGGUGAUU
This 1433-nucleotide ribosomal RNA is filed under the name uncultured organism. Its description in RNAcentral is "16S ribosomal RNA". It matches the Rfam family "Bacterial small subunit ribosomal RNA". The record is from RNAcentral.